RNAcentral lists this long non-coding RNA (276 nucleotides) under Nicotiana benthamiana. RNAcentral's name for it is "long non-coding RNA (NBEN_LNC017746)". The record is from RNAcentral. Lineage: Eukaryota; Viridiplantae; Streptophyta; Magnoliopsida; Solanales; Solanaceae.
GCUAAGAAACAUCGGCCGGGACGUGCAAGAUUUGGUAGCAGUUGACCUCGGGCGCAUCAAAUCCUACUUUCAGGUUUUUCCACCGGGAGUUGGUACCUCCCGCUCUCUUGUUUACUAUGUACACCUUUUUACGUAUUCUAGCUAGCAUUCUGUGCGAGAUUUAAUCUAUUGCUAUCUAGUUUGCAUCUUUUUGCGUAUUUUCCAUAGUCAGUUGGAGAGAUAGUGGCCGCGGCAGGGGAUGAUAGUGUAAGGUCAUGUCCUUGGGGGGUGGGGGUG